GACGAACGCUGGCGGCGUGCUUAACACAUGCAAGUCGAACGGAAAGGCCCUGCUUUUUUGCUCUUCUGGAUUGCGGAAGGCGUAAGUAACACGUGUGUAACCUGCCCUUCUUUUUCGUAUAACUUCAGGAAACUGGGGUUAAUACCGUAUAGGAUCCCCUCUUCCAUUGUGGGGGUUGGAAAGUCUCGGCGGUUGGGGUUGGAUGCGCGGCUUAUCAGCUUGUUGGUUGGGUAGUGGCAUACCAAGGCUGUGAAGGGUAGGCGGCCUGAGAGGGUGGCCGGCGACAUUGGGACUGAGGUACGGACCAGACUCCAACGGGAGGCAGCAGUGGGGAAUAUUGCACAAUGGGCGGAAGCCUGAUGCAGCAACGCCGCGUGCGGGAUGACGGCCUUCGGGUUGAGAACCGCUUUCGCCUGUGACGAAGCGUGAGUGACGGUAAUGGGUAAAGAAGCACCGGCUAACUACGUG
This 468-nucleotide ribosomal RNA is filed under the name uncultured bacterium. RNAcentral's name for it is "partial 16S ribosomal RNA". It matches the Rfam family "Bacterial small subunit ribosomal RNA", at positions 28 to 507 of the family's 1533-position model. The record is from RNAcentral.